This 1033-nucleotide long non-coding RNA is filed under the name Marmota monax (woodchuck). Lineage: Eukaryota; Metazoa; Chordata; Mammalia; Rodentia; Sciuridae. The record is from RNAcentral.
GAAAUAUGUAUUAAUAAAAUCUAGUGACACAUAAAUAGACAAAUAUAUCAUGACCAAGUGUUUAUGCCAAGAAUACAAGACUAGGUUAUCAUUCAAAAAUCAAUCAAUUAAUUUAUGAAAUUAAAUUCUAAAUAAGAAAAACCUACAUGAUUAUCUUAAUCCAGAAAAAUCAUUUGACCAAAUCUGGCACCUGUUUGUGGUUAAAAACCCUUAGUCUCUUAGCAACAUAGGCAUAAAAUAAAAAUUUAAUUUGAUACAGGCCUUUUACACAUGUCUUACAACUGGUGUCUCUCUUAAUCAUUGAAGACUGACUUGUUUUUCUUUUCAAUUGGGAGUGAAGUAUGAAUAUCUACCUUCAUUCCUUAUAUGCAGUAACAAUACUAGCAUGUGAUAUAGAACAUGUAAAAUGAUGAAUGAUUCUGAUUUAAAAAUAUCAAAGAGACCUGUUCAUUGGAAGACCCUAACCAAAACUGGUGUCUCUCAGGUAUAGAAGAAAGUGAGUUUUAUAAGAAAAAAAGAUAUAAGAAUCAACAUCCUGAUUUCAAGAAAUCAAUAAAUGGGAUGGUAUCAAAGUAAAAAUCCUCUUCAUAGAAAGGAAAGAAUCAAGAAUGUGAUUAAUAGGAGAAAAUCUUUGCCAUGUGCACCUCAGAUAGAGCAUUAAUCUCCAGGAUAUAUAAAUAACUCAAAAAACUGAACUCCAAAAAAACAAAUAACCCAAUCAAUAAAUGGGCAAAGCAACUGAACAGGCACUUCACAGAAGAAGAAAUACAAGUGAUCAACAAAUAAAUGAAAAAUAUUCAAUAUCACUAACCAUUAGAGAAAUGCAAAUUAAAAGUACACAUUGAGAUUUCAUCUCACUUUAGUCAAAGUGGCAAUCAUCAAGAAUACAAGUAGCAAUAAAUGUUAGUGAGGAUGUGGGUAAAAAGGUACAUUCAUACAUUGCUGUGGGGGGGCAGUCUGCGAAUUCAUACAAUCACUAUAGAAAACAGUGUGGAGAUUCCUCAGAAAACUAGGAAUGGAACCACGAAUUGAC